CCUACGGGAGGCAGCAGUGGGGGAUAUUGCACAAUGGGGGAAACCCUGAUGCAGCGAAGCCGCGUGAGUGAAGAAGUAUUUCGGUAUGUAAAGCUCUAUCAGCAGGGAAGAAAAUGACAGUACCUGACCACGAAGCCCCGGCUAACUACGUGCCAGCAGCCGCGGUAAUACGUAGGGGGCAAGCGUUAUCCGGAUUUACUGGGUGUAAAGGGAGCGUAGUCGGUUAUGUAAGUCUGGAGUGAAAGCCCGGGGCCUAACCCCGGGACUGCUUUUGAAACUGUGUGACUGGAGUAGAGGAGGGGCAUGCGGAAGGCGUGGUGUAGCGGUGAAAUGCGUAGAUAUCGGGAGGAACACCGGUGGCGAAGGCGGCCUGCUGGACUGAAACUGACGUUGAGGCUCGAAAGCGUGGGGAGCAAACAGGAGUAGAUACCCUUGUAGUC
Molecule: ribosomal RNA, 440 nt
Filed under: uncultured bacterium
Lineage: Bacteria
Description: partial 16S ribosomal RNA
Rfam family: Bacterial small subunit ribosomal RNA
Source: RNAcentral